CGUGGCCUCGGCCGGGCUCAGCGCUGCCCCCGGCGGCACCACCGGGCACCGCAGCCUCCGUCCCCGCCACCGCCCGCCCGCCGCAGGCCGCCAUGGCCGCGCUGCACGCCAAGGCCGGCGGCCCCCCGCAGAUCCCCGACACCCGGCGGGAGCUGGCCGAGCUGGUGAAACGCAAGCAGGAGCUGGCGGAGACGCUGGCCAACCUGGAGCGGCAGAUCUACGCCUUCGAGGGCAGCUACCUGGAGGACACGCAGAUGUACGGCAACAUCAUCCGCGGCUGGGACCGCUACCUCACCAACCAGAAGAACUCCAACAGCAAAAACGACCGGAGGAACCGCAAGUUCAAGGAGGCCGAGAGGCUCUUCAGCAAGUCCUCGGUCACCUCGGCGGCGGCGGUCAGUGCAUUAGCUGGAGUUCAAGACCAGCUCAUUGAGAAGCGGGAGCCAGGCAGUGGGACAGAGAGUGACACUUCGCCAGACUUUCACAAUCAGGAGAAUGAGCCCAACCAGGAAGAUGCUGAAGAGCUGGAUGGAUCCGUGCAGGGGGUGAAACCCCAGAAAGCUGCUUCCUCCACUUCUGGGAGCCACCAUAGCAGCCACAAAAAACGGAAGAACAAAAAUCGACACAGCCCGUCUGGCAUGUUUGAUUAUGACUUUGAGUAAGUUUGACUUGAAUUAGUACUUGUGCUGUGUUGUUAGUGUGUAGACACCAAUGUGCCUUUUGAGACCUUUCUAACCCAUAGUUUAUCUGUUUAAUUGUAGGUAUGUAUAUUAGGUUAGGCUGGGAAGUUUUUUUUAAAAACAGAAAAGCGUGAUGGAGGAUUGAUCUCAAGUUAAACAAAAAGCCAAGAGCCGACUACUAGACUCAUCAGUGAUGAAGCUUCUGGGAUUUAGGUCUACAUGAAUCCCCACCAAGAAAAAUGCCAGUCGACUGAAUGAGCACGAAGGCAGCUCUCUGGCCAAGUGUAUGCAGAAGGGAGUGGUUCACUCUAAAGGACUCAGAUUGGGGGAGAAAGUCUUGGACCAUGUACUUUGCAUCAUUUUUAAAUCACCUGACUUACAGGAAGACUAAGGUGUAGUAGUAGUAGUCUUGAAUUCCUGACUAUUCCGUGCUUCCAGCUCAGUUGGGAACUUCACAAUUGGCUGAUCUUGCUGCUGCCACCCCUGUCAUCCGUAAAACCAUGGAGAGGCAUUUUCUUUUCUGCUGGAACUGGGGUAUGAUUCAGUUUGUCCCAUCCAUGUUGUAAGACUUAGCUUACUUUUGUUACUGAUACUUAGCUUCAUUUGUUUUUUGUUGUUGUUGUUUAUGUUUUGUUUUUUUUUUGGUUGUAGGUGUUUUGUUUUUUUUUUGUUUGUUUUUGUUUUGUUUUCAACCAAAGUGUGUAGUUAAUAAACUGGCUUUUGGUUUGUUUGUUUUAAUCCAUGUAGAGAGGAAGGUACUUCAUUUUGUGGAACAUCUCAGAUUCUUAUGCAAGCAGAGAACAAGGUGGCUAACCAUUUUCUCUAACUUUUAUUUUGAACACCAUCCCCUAAAACUUACACACUGCUUUUAGAUGCAGGGAAGGCAGGAGCUCAAAGCCAACUUGCUCUUUGCUAUCUUUGAGGUUGGGUGGAUUCUCUUUUUAAUACAAACUUCUGUCAUUUGUACAUAAACAAUAAAAGUUACAUUUGUCUCUCUUCUCA
RNA transcript from Oxyura jamaicensis (ruddy duck), 1682 nucleotides. It is a transcript of the gene named MYST/Esa1 associated factor 6, with no coding region annotated. The transcript is spliced from 8 exons. NCBI's taxonomy places the organism in Eukaryota, Metazoa, Chordata, Aves, Anseriformes, Anatidae. The record is from RefSeq and is a predicted model, not a curated record.